AGCUCUCAAAAUGCAUAGAUACAUUGCUGCGGUUAAAAAGCUCGUAGUUGGAUCUGUGUCCGUGGUGGCGGGGUCCACUCUUCGGAGUGCGUACUCUUGUCGCCGUGGCUUUAGUGCCGGCUUCGCUUGUCGUAGUCUUAAGUGAUUGCGUGCAUGUGGGCUGGCGAGUUUACUUUGAACAAAUCAGAGUGCUCCAAACAGGCGUUUACGCUUGAAUGUUCGUGCAUGGAAUAAUAGAAGAGGAUUUCGGUUCUUGUUUUGUUGGUUUUGAUGGAUCGAAAUAAUGGUUAAUAGAGACAAACGGGGGCAUUCGUACUUCUGCGUGAGAGGUGAAAUUCUUGGACCGCAGAAAGACGCACUACAGCGAAAGCAUUUGCCAAGAAUGUCUUCA
RNAcentral lists this ribosomal RNA (391 nucleotides) under uncultured eukaryote. Its description in RNAcentral is "SSU rRNA". It matches the Rfam family "Eukaryotic small subunit ribosomal RNA", at positions 587 to 972 of the family's 1831-position model. The record is from RNAcentral.